RNAcentral lists this ribosomal RNA (465 nucleotides) under uncultured bacterium. Its description in RNAcentral is "partial 16S ribosomal RNA". It matches the Rfam family "Bacterial small subunit ribosomal RNA", at positions 28 to 507 of the family's 1533-position model. The record is from RNAcentral.
GACGAACGCUGGCGGCGUGCUUAACACAUGCCAGUCGAACGGAAAGGCCCUGCUUGCAGGGUACUCGAGUGGCGAACGGGUGAGUAACACGUGGGUGAUCUGCCCUGCACUUCGGGAUAAGCCUGGGAAACUGGGUCUAAUACCGGAUAGGAGCCAUUUUUAGUGUGAUGGUUGGAAAGUUUUUUCGGUGUAGGAUGAGCUCGCGGCCUAUCAGCUUGUUGGUGGGGUAAUGGCCUACCAAGGCGGCGACGGGUAGCCGGCCUGAGAGGGUGGACGGCCACAUUGGGACUGAGAUACGGCCCAGACUCCUACGGGAGGCAGCAGGGGGGAAUAUUGCACAAUGGGCGCAAGCCUGAUGCAGCGACGCCGCGGGGGGGAUGACGGCCUUCGGGUUGUAAACUCCUUUCGCUAGGGACGAAGCUUUUUGUGACGGUACCUAGAGAAGAAGCACCGGCUAACUACGUG